AUGUCAGAAAAUACCACCGGGAAGGAAACUUUUGUGUCAAGUCCAAUCCGAGCCUCCCCAUGGAUCAGGGAUGCUGAAUGUGGAGGAGAACAGAGGGAUGGGAAGGAGCGCCCGCCCUCCAUCAGAAUUCAGAUGCUUUCCCAGGUGCUUGGCAGAGACACCACAAGACCCCAGCAGGUGGGAAUGGCUUACUCCUCCCGCUACAACCCUCCUUCCCGCCCCUGCUCCUCAGUCUGUGGACUGUCAUCCUUAGAUGAGCCCAGUCCCCUCUGGCCUGUGGCCUUUCCAUACCCAGAACAGAAUGGAGUGGGUGGCAAGGAAAGACACAACUCGGGGAGGGAAGGUGGCUGGCUGCAUCCGAGGCCACAGACGGAGGCUGACAAGAUCUUUGCCUUAGAAUGCUGCAAUUCGGAGGAACCUUGGACAGUAGCCUCAUCGACCCCAUCACCCACUGGAGAGGACCCCACACCCCAGCGAGGACAGCCAGACCAGACUCGGGGUUCGCAGUGGUCUCAGCAUUUCUUUGAGCCAAGGAGGCCACCAGAAGUCAUACAGCAGAAAACAAGCAGGUCUAAAUAAAUAAGGUGGUGGUGACAUUUUCCGUAGUUUGUCUCCUGGAACCAUCUAGAGAAUCUGAGAAACAACUCUUCAGACUGUUGCUACCACCUUCAGGUCUGGGCUGAUCAAACACGGGUUGGUUAUAAUCAACCCCUUCCUCUCGCCGCUCCCUGAUCAUGAUGGAUUGAUCUGAUUUCAGGAAAGGGGCUGUGCUGGGGGUAGGGUUGUUGAUGUCCAUCCAGCUUGCACCUGGUAGUGACCCACAAAUCCCAUAAAGAAUCAUGGGCAGGACCCAGAACCUCAGCCAGCAGGAAGUGGACGCUCUUCUGGAUGAUUUGAAAGACCUGCUACUGGUCUCCAGUGCACAUGAAUGGAAGUCUGGGGAGAAGCCUGGCACCCAGGAAGGUCCAACUGCCAACCCAGGGGAAGCAAAGUCCCCAGGUACUGGCCAUUUGGGCGAGCUGCACGCUGAUAUCCAAGGUAAGUGCACUGCUCCGUGUUGUUAAAACCUCAGGAACGUAGGUGAGAGAUGCGGACAUUUGGCAAAUGCUGUGUUAUAGAUGCUGUGUGAGGAGAGGAGUACGAUGGGGACUCUGACCCCAAGGAGCUUGGAGCCCAGAGACACAGACACAGGCAGGGAGAGCAGAGGCCCGGAUGCAGCAGUACACUGUGCAGAAGAGACACCAUGGAGGGAGAAGUCAGCCACACUCCAGGUCGGGAAGGUUUCUCAAGUGGCGACAAUUCUAUGGGUCUUGAGGGUGAUCUGAGAUUUGCCCCUGGACAAAGUAGAAAGCACAUUCCAAGAAGCCACAGCGUAAGAAACGUGACAGGCACCAUAGGGCACUUCGGAUAGUUCGGCUCUGCUGAAGGUAGAAUCCUACCAAAGAGGAUCACAUAGAUGCAGAUGGGAGGAGGUGGGGAGUAGGCCAGAGAGGCUGCCUGGCCUGGCUAACAGUGGGAUCUUAUUACAUAAGACCGCGUGGGAUUCCUUUCACAGCACACGGCGCACAAAACAAUAGAACCAACAUCAGCAGGACAGCGGGUACCACAAGCAAUGUUUCCAUCACUGAUUGUGAUGGAGCCGAAAGCAAAUUUCCUGUUCCCUCUCAAAGUCAUAGUGUCACAUCCCUCUCGUAUGUAGAGAUGCUAGUGCAAAGUUCUACAGAGAAUCAAGCAAUACAAUUAUAUAUACCACUUACAAAAUAGUAAGAAACGACCAUUACUGGUUUAUGCCUUUACCACAUUCUACUUAGUUAAUCUACAAUGUGCUCCUUGCACUUACUUAAAAAAAAAAAAAAAAAAAAAAAAAAAAAAAAAAA
Molecule: long non-coding RNA, 1877 nt
Filed under: Fukomys damarensis (Damara mole-rat)
Lineage: Eukaryota; Metazoa; Chordata; Mammalia; Rodentia; Bathyergidae
Description: lncRNA (ENSFDAG00000024753.1)
Source: RNAcentral